GGGGAUGGAGCCUCAGAGGUUUGUGUGUUGACCCCCUGCCCUGGGUCUCUCACACGGUUAUAACCCACUCCGGGUGUGACUUAGGUGGCCCGUGUUCCCUACAGAGGUAUCGAGCCGAGGUAGCCCCCCUCUGAUGUAGGAGAGGAAGAAGAUUGUUUUCCCGUCUAUCCUCCUAGGUCCUUCAGCUGGUACCCUGCAAAGUGGACUGACAAAAGACAGAUGAACAAGGGAAAAACAAGCAGAAGUUUAUCAACAUAUCCAUAGCACAUACACAUGGGAGAACUCAGUGAUCAGUUGGUGGACAAGGAUGGUUAGAACUUAGAAUCUCAACAAUGCUUUACAGAUGAGGAAACUGAGGUUCAAGGAAGAGAAGGAGUGGGCCGGCCUCUCAGUGCUCAAGCCAGAUCUCUGCACCUCAGUUUUUGUUUUGUUUUGUUUUGUUUUGGUAUCAGGAGUGGGAUUGCACCUUGUUUUUGAUGCACCCUUUCUCUCCCUCACCUCCCUCUCUGGUGCAAUACCCUGACCUUUCACAUUUUUAAAAUUUGUUUUCAGCCCUAGUACAUUUCUCCAUCCUGCUGCCACCACCCGGUCCAGGCCCCGCUGUCAUCACGGACUUGGAUGACUGCAGUUCUCUCCCCUCUGGUCCCCUGGGCUCCCUCGCCCUUUUCUACCUGCACAAAACUUUUAGUCCCCUGGGCUUUGGUUCUGGGUGACCUGGGCUCCCUGACCCUGAUGGGUCCACUGGGGUACUGCAUGAAGGCUCCUCCAGCAGGCAGAGAGUUUGGCUGGAUCCAGAGGAGCACACCAGUUGCCUGGAUCCUGGCACCAUCCUCUCUGAGUGACCUGCCAGCCCCAGACCCUCCUUGAAACCGCAGUUUCUGACACAUGAGGAAUGAUGCUCUCUGAGGCCCUGAGCCAGGCCCGCAUGCUGAAGGGCUCUUCCUUUCCCUUCCUGGAUCAAUGCUCCUUCAGUGCUGAGGCCUGGGACUGUUCUUAUUCCCUAGUGAGGCCCGGUGCAGAAAGUGAGCUGGAGCUUGGAGACCACAGCUCUGGGCCAGGGCAGGGCCCGAGGGUGUGUACUGUACAACCCCAGGGUGCCACUCACAACCUACUCAACCGUGCACAGCAAUGGCAACCGCUGAGGCCUCUUGCCUUUCCUUGCUGCCUGCGGGCUCCGCGGGGGAGGGAUCCAUAGCGUGUGUGGAAAGUGUGGUUUAGGAUGCCCGGGGCCCAGAUGGGAGCUGCUCCUGCAGACACCGACGUUUUUUUGUGAACCUACUGGCUAUCUGGAAAGUGUCUGAAAGGGUGGUGCGGCCUCAUUCCAACACACACGCACAUAACCACAUACAGACCCACGCAUACACAUGCACACACACCUAAAAUGUACACAAGCACAUACACGCACUAAACACACACACAACAGUGUACGUCGUAUUACACAGUAGUGCAAAAGAGCAGCCCCUGAUGCGUGCACCAACGUGAAGGGGCCUCACGGUCACAAAUGGAGACUUGCUCGAGUUCUAGGAUAGACAUGAGUCUGUGGGGAUAGAAGUCAGGCUAGCGGUUGCCUGUGGGAGCAGGUGGGCCAGUAACUGAGUGUUGGGGGCAGAACUUGGCAGAUUUGGGCUCAGAGAACAGGCCGCACCUGGAUCUGGAGGGUCGGCCCGACGAGGAGAGGUUUUGGGUCCAUGUGUCCUGCCCAGCAAAGAGCAGGUUUUUAUCAAUAUAUGCAUUGCACACACACACACGGGACGACUCAGCGAGGAAAAACGACAGAUAUAUAUGUAUAUAGAUAGACAGACAGAAAAAGCAGACACAGAGACAGAUAGAUAAAGUGACAGAACAAAAAACAUACAGCCUGAUAGAUGGACAAAGAGAUAGACUCAGCAGGGAGGACACAUAAACAGAUAUAUUAACAAAAAGACAGACAGAAAGACAGAUGGACAGCACAUAGAGAAAGACAGGCAGGAAUAUGGAUCGAGAGGCACAGGUGGACUAACAGACAAGUGAGGCGGACAGACAGUAAAAGAGACGGACAGGUAGACAUGUACACACACAUCUGUACAUAGAGUCAUACACACGCAGAUGUAGAUGCAGAGAGAGAGGCACAGCCAGUGGAACAGAGGGGCAGACAGCAUUUUUUUCUCUCUUUUUUUUUUCCUGCCUUUGAAUGGAGUUCCUCUACUGGGGCCUCUGGGGACGAGGUGCCGUGUGGGGCACGGGGCCGAGAAAGCCACUCCCACGAGAGGCGGCGCCAUCACGAGCUCACCGUCGACUCGGAGCCCUGGGCUCUGGGUGAAACGUUUUGACGACUUCGAAUGAUGUGGAAGGCGAAACAAUGUAGAUCUGACAUCUCGUGUGGGAUCAGGAUGCUUUCUGCUCUUUGAAUAUUUGACUAAGGAGAUACAUCGAGAAUUGUCAUGUUUUUAUUUUAUUUGUGCUUGUUUUGUGUUUAAGAGGCAACAUCCAGAAAAAUUCUAACCUGCAGCCUUUUUCCUGGAAUGUAUCUACUGGAACCAGCAGAGGGCAGGAAGUCAUUAGUCACUAGAUGGUGUUGCUUGGUCUGUGGACAGUAAACUCAAGGUUUUCUUGUGUCUUUGCUUCCUGAGCACUUGGUUAAUUAACUCCAGGACCUGCGCACACCCAUCCACCCUUAAUGAACGCGCCGAGUCGUCAGUAUUUAUAGCACUCAGAGUCUGUGCUCUUUCUCAGCAGCGAGAUAUCAGAGGACACAGCUGUUCUUCAAAGCAGGGUGGAAAAUCAACGAAUAUCCACUCAGUAUUAACUUUAUGGAUGGUCCAAUGGGGUUAUAUUGGCUAGAAUAAAUAACAACCCAGAAUGAAUAUCCUACCGAGAUGACCAACUUUGAGCUUAUUCUUUUUCCUUUAUAUGGCAUUAUUUACUAAAUUCUGCAUUCACAGAAAUAAGUUGGCUGUUCAGAAAGAACGACUUUUGGAAGAUAAGGAAUCAAAAUGUGUCUGAGCUCGUGACAAUUGACGACCCCCCAGCAAUGUGGUCUCUUCAUCCAGUUGCUGGCAACAGUUAGAUAUGUACUCAUCAGUAUUUACAGGUGACCCCUCACUCCUCCACCGCCCCCCCCACCACCCCGUCAUCUCUAAUGUAAUUUGCAAUUAUAAAUGCAUCCUUAAGUUUUUACGACUUCGGAAUAAGUAGGGAUAGGCUGAUCUUAUCAUACGAAGAAGAUCAAGCAUGUUUCUCUUUGAACACGGAAAUUACGAAACAGAAGUAUUCCCAUUAAAAUUAGCUUAGAGUCAAUAAAGUCUGCUGGAAUACUGAUGAAUGUGAAGAGUUAGGAAACAAACAGGAGGACUCAAGCUACAACAACGAGCAGACAAUACGGUGCUUCAGGUAAAGGAAGGCCCUCUGUGCCCUCUUAAUGAACCUCACCCCGUCCCAAAGCUAGCCACAUUUAUCUUCUCUACUGGGCUUUGCCAGUUUCUGGACCUCCAGGCAAUGCAAACACACAUUAGGUACUUUUUUGUAUCUAGCUUUUCCACUCAAGGUUACGUCUGUGAAACUCAUCCAUAUUAUUUCAUGCAGCAAUCAUUCAUUUCAUCAUUGCUAUGCACUAUUGUUUGAAUAUAUCAAAAUAUACGGAUCUGUUGGAUUACCGGCGUAAAAUUUUUAAUUGUCUAGUUUUUCUAGCUUCCGCGUACUUGCACGUCUUUUCGUGGACAUAAGCCAUAAUCUCUGUCGGGCUGUGUCAGAGGGGUUAUGUACGUAUGCUCAGCUGUAUAGAUACUGCCAAGCAGUUUUCCAGAGUUGUUGUACUAAUUUACACUCCCAUCAGCAGUGCUUAUCUUGCCAGUUUUAAAAUAUUUUCUUUAGUCUGUUUAAUUUUAGUCAUUCUGAUGUGUGUGCUGUAUAUGACAUAUUCAUCUGAAUUUCCUGACCGGUAAUGUUGUAGAAUUGGCUGUCCGAGGCUUCUUAGCCGUUUGGAUAUCAUCUUUUCUGAAGGGCUUGUUCAAACUUUUGGUUAUUUUUAAUUGGGCCCUCUUUAAAGAGAAAAUUGAUUUGUAGCAGUUCUUGAGACGUUCUGGGUGUGAAUCCUCUAUGGGAUAAAUGCAUUGCAGAUACAUCUCUCCCUUUUGUGUCUAUUGUUUCUACCUAAAGUUCUUAAUCUUAACAAAGUCCAAUUUAGCAAUCUUGUACUUUAUGGUUAUUGCAUUUUUUGGGCCCCAUUUGAGAACGCUUUUCUGACACCCAAUUCACAGAUGCUGUAACAGAGAGAAGACGCACUCCUGUGUUUUCUUCGAGAACCUCUGUAAUCCCACCUUUCGCCCGGGCAGGACCUUCUCCAAGGUCUGCGUCCCGGCUCCGAGUAGCCCUCUGCCUAUCCAGCCACGGAGGUCUCAGCGCAGCCAGGUGAACUGUCUGCAUUCCCUCUGAAGCCCCAGAUCCCUACCCGACAUCCUCUAUGGUCUUUAGCUGAAGAUGGUAUUUAAGGUGAAGGUUUGGCCAUUGGCGAGUUACUCAGUUUCCCUGGGUCUCUCCCAUGUAUACAUGUUAUUAAACUUUGUUUGAUUUUCUCUUGUUAAUCUACCUCAUGUCAAUUUAAUUCUCAUACCAACCGGAAGAAUCUGGAAGGGUAAAGGAAAAUCUUCCUCCUGGACAGCUAUUUCAUUAUAUAUAUAUAUAUAUAUAUAUAUAUAUAUAUAUAUAUAUAUAUAUGUAUAUCUACAUAUCUCACAUUUUCUUUAUCCACUCAUCCAUCGACGGACAUGGGUUGUUUCCAUAUCUCGGCUUUUACGAGCAACGCGGCCAUGAACACGGGGCACAGAUAUCUCUUUGAGAUACCGAUUUCAUUUCCUUUGGAUAUAUACCCAGAAGUGGGAUUGCUGGGUCAUACGGUAGGUCUAUUUCUAAUUUUUUAAGGUACCUUCCUACUGUUUUCCACAGUGGCUUCGGCGGUUUACACUUCCACCAGCAGUGCACAGGAGUUCCCUUUUCUCCCAAGUGAGUGUUUUCAAUCUGGGGAGAUCAUCAGUGAUGCCUCCACAGAAGCUUCCUGCUGGUUCCUUCUGGGUCUGAGCACCAGACUUCCCAGCACCGCUGCCUUGGCAGAGGCCUGUGGGCAAGAGGGAGCUUGUUCCGCAGAGAGGAGCAAAGGCUUUGGGGCUGAGGUGCAGGACCCGUGUGGGGAGGGCCGGGGAGGCAUCACCACCUUCAGCUGAAGCUCCUCGAAGGGCCCUGGAGGGUGCACGCACGGCCUGGUGCUGUCCCGAGGGCCACAUCUGAAGGGUCUGCCUUGAGGGCUUGACUCCAUGCGGGUGGCUGGGGUCUCAGUGAAGUCUUGGGGGCGCCGGCAUCCACUGCAGCCCGCUGGGAGAGCAGCCCCAUGUCCCCCCCUGCCCUGGGCCUAGCUCCUCCGUGCUGGUGGACACCCACCCUGGUCCCAGAUGCACACCUACCCUGAGAACACCUGCUUCACAUGCUUUCAAACUGGAAAACAUCUGAUUUGGACUUUCCUGGAAAUAAGUUGGCAAGUCAUGCUGUGUGUCUCUUGCUGCAUCCAGAGAGAUGGUUGUAUCCAUGCUCUAGCACGUGAGUAGAUACGCAUGUGUAGAACAUUGCUUCCGGCUGUCACCUGCUAAUAAUUGAUGUCUAGUAAAUGCUAGCUUUUUAUUAAGUGGCUACAAUGCACGUGAGUCGAUCUUUAGGAUAAUGAACGUGACAGGUGUUGUAUGUUCUUUAUCAAGACACUUUGCAAUGCCUUUUAAAAUAAAUGUGUUAAGUUCUGUAAUUAAUUUACCUAGACCUCGUUAGCGGGCUGACGUUUUCAGUCAAUAGAGAGCAGUGAGAUGUGUCAGAUCCCUUACUCGGACCCCGCUUAGGAGCAGCUCCGUUAACUCAACCGUUCUUUAUUGAGCACCUACUGUGUGGCAGCUUCUGUGUUUGGCUCUGGCCCUGGUUAGCUCCUGUUUAAUAGAUGCUUAGAUCUGCGGCUGGAGGACAAAGGCCAAGUGGUCUUGGGGAUGUUGAGCCCAUGAAUGAGUUCUUUUGUCUCCUACACUACCUUCCUGUGUUCACUGCUUUCAGGAAGCACAUCUAGGUUUGGGGGGAGAUGGGCGCUCUCCAUGGAAACCUGGCCCCUACUUGAGGUCACCGUUGCCUGCCAUCAGAGCCCCUGGCCCGUCCCCAGACUUGGUCCACCAUUGUCAUGUAACUUGUCUUGCACGUGCAGAGCCAGGCACCUAUUCACAUCUCUUCUACAGUCUUUGUGUUCUUCUCAUCUCAGUAGCACCGUGACGUGAGCACCCUCUCUUGGUGUGCAAAGGUUCCAGAGCGUUCCUUUAUUAGUGCCAUGCUGCUGGAUAUUCCAUUUUUUAAGCUAUAACAAAUAACAUUAACCUUCUAAAAAAUACAUUCGAGUAGUAUUCGGGAUGAAGAUAUCAUCUUAAUAGGUAUCAAAUUGCUUCACCUGAUUUUGCUUAUCUUUUCCAAAUGAAGGGUCCGUCGUGUGGGCUCCUCUCUUUGUGGAAGGGCUCACGGCCAGUGCAGGCAGGGAGGUGGGAUGCCCUGCCCUCAGGGAGCGUGCAGGGUUGGAGGCGUCGGCUCCCGCUCUGACUCAGACACGAGGCCCCAGUGGCAUCUGUCCCUCACGGUUGUGAACCUCAGGAGAUGGUCACCUGGCGUACAGGUGUGCAGCCUCCCUGAGAUCAGACAUUUUGUCUAAUGAGACAAACAAGGGUAAGGAACAGCAGGCACUCGCGUACGUGCACGUGACCAGCUGACGCCCGUGUGCAGCUGACCCAGACACCCAGGAAGCCCUAAGGAGCCACACCGCAUCAAAGAGCCCAGCAGACAGGGCAGGUGGUGUCAGGGCUGCUUCCUUGGGCCCAAGAGCCGUUCUUGCGCUAUUGUUCAGUGAGCUGUGGCCUGAUCUUGCAGACAUGCGUGCCGUGGCCCCCGGUGGGCAAAGGAUUUCCCCGGCUCUGUGCCAGGUGCUUGGCCGCCGUGACUCAAGCUGGUGUCCUUCUCCCUGUCCGAGGAACAAGAGCAUCAGUGGUCUCUGCAAACUGCAGCCCAGGUCUCCAGGUCUCCGGGGGCUGCAGCAGAGACGAGGCCUCCAGCGCAGCGCUUUCGCGGGGUCCGCUCCUCGGCAACCUUUGCGCGCUGCGGAAAUGGGCCUGACGUUAGCUAAUUCAGCCUCAUCUCACGCUAAUAAGAUCCCAUUGGGUUCUAUCAUAUUAUUGCAUUAGUCGGCAGCAAAUCAAAGUAGAUAUUUUUGAAAAUCUGAGUUGGCGGAGAAGGCUGCCCCCACAAGUACGUUUUCCAGAAAAUAAAGCCAUGGCUUAUGUUACAGCGACUCACAGCCCAGUGACUUGGCUUGUAGCUGAGAACCUCCUAUAAACUCCCCUCCGUGGCUCGAGUCACACUUCCUGCUGCUGCCAGGUGGCGAUCCACCCUCGGGGCUGGCCUCCGUCCAUGGCACGUACACGGCCUGACCACAGCCAGACGGGUCACUGGCACGGAGCUAACAAUCUCUGAGCCCAGAUGUAAUUUCUAAGGGGAUCCAGCCCGCAGAGCAGGGCUACCUGGGUGUGUGGCUCUGACACAAAGAGACACCCGUGGUGCUGAAAUGACCCCCUCGGCCUCCCGCUACCCCGCCUCCUCCUGUCAUAAACGGAUGACUAGGAAGUCCAGUUCUAGGUGAGUGAGUGGGUAUUAACCCCGGGAGGUGGAGGGCAGCAAACUGCCCCAGGUCCGGCUUCUCCCCGCUCUGGCCUGUCCCUGGCAACAUCAAGCCAUCUUUGGCCCCAAUCUUCUGCUUCAGGACCAGGGGGAAGGAAACCACUUGAAAAGGCCAAUCUCACGGAAUCAGCAUUUCUUUCCAAGCCUCCAAGUCAUGUCUGAGAAAGGAAAGAUCAACUACAAGGCCAAGGAGGAGCUCUCAGCUAGUGCUUCUCGCCAGCCCUGGCUGGUGCUGCAGGGGUCCAGAUGCUGAAACCCCCACUGAAUGGAAGAAGAAGUUAACUACCGAGGACCAUGAGCACGUAGCCCCCAGACCUCCUGGAGUCUGAGAAUCGAUAGCGUUCACGCCUGUGACCCUGCCCUGUGACCUCGUCAUCAGCCAAUCAGAACUGUGCACAAGCUGAUCCCAUACCCUGUGACUCCCCUCCCUCACCUGGCCUUUAAAAAUACCUCCCUGGGACUUUCCUGGUGGCGCAGUGGUUAAGAGUCCGCCUGCUAAUGCAGGGGACACGGGUUCGAGUCCUGAGCCGGGAAGAUCCCACAUGACGCAGAGCAACGAAGCCCGUGCGCCACAACUGCUGAGCCUGCGCUCUAGAGCCCGCGAGCCACAACUACUGAGCCCACGCGCCACAACUAGUGAAGCCCGUGCACCUGGAGCCGGUGCUCCGCGAUGAGAGAAGCCACCGCAAUGAGAAGCUCACACAACAAAACGAAGAGUAGCCCCGGCUCACGGUAACUAGAGAAAGCCCGUGCGCAGCAAUGAAGACCCAACGCAGCCAAUAAAUAAAUAAAUAAAUGUAUAAAAACGUAAAAAUGUUAAAAAAAUUUUUAAAAAGUAAAAAUGCCUCCCUGAAACCCAUUGGGGAGUUCCGGUGUUUUGAGCGUUAGCUGCUUUGGCCUCCUUAUCUGCUGCCUUACAGUAAACACUGCAGGUUCCUUCACCACAACCCGGUGUCACUAGAUUGGCUUUAUUCUUGCACGGGUGAGCGGACACAAGUUUGGUUCGGUAACAGGAGGACAGCUGCUCCCAAGGGUCUAGGGCG
Physeter macrocephalus (sperm whale) is the source of this 8759-nucleotide long non-coding RNA. RefSeq lists it as uncharacterized. The transcript has 4 exons. The record is from RefSeq and is a predicted model, not a curated record. NCBI's taxonomy places the organism in Eukaryota, Metazoa, Chordata, Mammalia, Artiodactyla, Physeteridae.